RNAcentral lists this ribosomal RNA (306 nucleotides) under uncultured bacterium. Its description in RNAcentral is "bacterial SSU rRNA". It matches the Rfam family "Bacterial small subunit ribosomal RNA", at positions 1174 to 1479 of the family's 1533-position model. The record is from RNAcentral.
UGGGGAUGACGUCAAGUCCUCAUGGCCCUUAUAGGUGGGGCUACACACGUCAUACAAUGGCUGGUACAGAGGGUUGCCAACCCGCGAGGGGGAGCCAAUCCCACAAAGCCAGUCGUAGUCCGGAUCGCAGUCUGCAACUCGACUGCGUGAAGUCGGAAUCGCUAGUAAUCGCGGAUCAGAAUGUCGCGGUGAAUACGUUCCCGGGUCUUGUACACACCGCCCGUCACACCAUGGGAGCGGGUCUCGCCAGAAGUGGGUAGCCUAACCGUAAGGAGGGCGCUUACCACGGCAGGGUUCGUGACUGGG